GGGCCUUGGACAAGUGGUGACUGA
Molecule: non-coding RNA, 24 nt
Filed under: Cricetulus griseus (Chinese hamster)
Lineage: Eukaryota; Metazoa; Chordata; Mammalia; Rodentia; Cricetidae
Source: RNAcentral